This 375-nucleotide ribosomal RNA is filed under the name uncultured bacterium. Its description in RNAcentral is "bacterial SSU rRNA". It matches the Rfam family "Bacterial small subunit ribosomal RNA", at positions 30 to 403 of the family's 1533-position model. The record is from RNAcentral.
AUUGAACGCUGGCGGCAUGCCUUACACAUGCAAGUCGAACGGCAGCACGGGGGCAACCCUGGUGGCGAGUGGCGAACGGGUGAGUAAUGCAUCGGAACGUGCCCAGUAGUGGGGGAUAACUAGUCGAAAGAUUAGCUAAUACCGCAUACGACCUAUGGGUGAAAGCGGGGGAUUCGCAAGAACCUCGCGCUAUCGGAGCGGCCGAUGUCUGAUUAGCUAGUUGGCGGGGUAAAGGCCCACCAAGGCUUCGAUCAGUAGCUGGUCUGAGAGGACGACCAGCCACACUGGGACUGAGACACGGCCCAGACUCCUACGGGAGGCAGCAGUGGGGAAUUUUGGACAAUGGGCGCAAGCCUGAUCCAGCCAUGCCGCGUG